Molecule: ribosomal RNA, 253 nt
Filed under: uncultured bacterium
Lineage: Bacteria
Description: partial 16S ribosomal RNA
Rfam family: Bacterial small subunit ribosomal RNA
Source: RNAcentral
UACAGGGGGUGCAAACGUUGCUCGGAAUCAUUGGGCGUAAAGCGCACGUAGGCGGUCUGUUAUGUCGGAUGUGAAAGCCCUCGGCUCAACUGAGGAAGUGCAUCCGAAACUGGCAGGCUAGAGUACUAAAGAGGGUCGCGGAAUUCCCGGUGUAGAGGUGAAAUUCGUAGAUAUUCGGAAGAACACCAGUGGCGAAGGCGACUUACUGGACACAUAUUGACGCUGAGGUGCGAAAGCGUGGGGAGCAAACAGG